RNAcentral lists this ribosomal RNA (422 nucleotides) under uncultured prokaryote. RNAcentral's name for it is "bacterial SSU rRNA". It matches the Rfam family "Bacterial small subunit ribosomal RNA", at positions 355 to 774 of the family's 1533-position model. The record is from RNAcentral.
UGGGGAAUCAUGGUCAAUGGGCGAAAGCCUGAACCUGCCAAGUCGCGUGAAGGAAGAAGGUUCUAUGGAUUGUAAACUUCUUUUGCAGGGGAAUAAAGGACGGUACGUGUACUGUUUUGUAUGUACCUCGCGAAUAAGGAUCGGCUAACUCCGUGCCAGCAGCCGCGGUAAUACGGAGGAUCCGAGCGUUAUCCGGAUUUAUUGGGUUUAAAGGGUGCGUAGGUGGAUCGGUAAGUCAGUGGUGAAAGUUUUCAGCUCAACUGAAAAAUUGCCGUUGAAACUGGCGAUCUUGAGUGCAAAUGAGGUAGGCGGAAUGUGUGGUGUAGCGGUGAAAUGCUUAGAUAUAACACAGAACUCCGAUGGCGAAGGCAGCUUACUGGGAUGCAACUGACACUGAUGCGCGAAAGCGUGGGUAUCAAACA